This 124-nucleotide long non-coding RNA is filed under the name Polistes fuscatus (common paper wasp). Its description in RNAcentral is "uncharacterized LOC122520457". The record is from RNAcentral. Lineage: Eukaryota; Metazoa; Arthropoda; Insecta; Hymenoptera; Vespidae.
GUCGGACGCCGUCGAGACAAGUCUCAACUAGUUUCGCUCCACGUACAUGCAAUCAUUAUCGAUGACGUGAAUGCAUUGAAAUUAGAAGACGUUCACCAUCGUUCCAUGGAAAUUAUACUAAUCA